Oryzias javanicus (javanese ricefish) is the source of this 491-nucleotide long non-coding RNA. NCBI's taxonomy places the organism in Eukaryota, Metazoa, Chordata, Actinopteri, Beloniformes, Adrianichthyidae. The record is from Ensembl.
AUGUCAUGCAAGCAACGGCACACAAGAACAGUCAUUUUAUGCAGCAAAGCAGGGAACAGCAAUGAGACACUAUGAUAAUGAGCAGCCGGGGCAAAAUAAUCAGAAGCGAACCUCCUGCAAGCGACUUAUCCUCGGCUUUGGUCUGCUGUGUAUCAGUCAAGCUAUUCUCAACAUAUCUCUGCGCAUGACCCUAAAUUGCAGUAAGAACCCUUUUCACUGCAACGCAACUGAUGUCACAGUCCACACGCUGGAUGAAGCAAUAGAAAUCGGCGUCAUGAACAAGUAUCAGAAGUUACAAGAAAAAAUCAAGGCCUUGAUCAGAGAUAAUGAGAUCCUUGAGAGGAGAAACAAGGAACUGAUGGGGAAAUGUGGGUGGGAAAGGCCGGAAAAGAAUCACAGUAAGAACUUUUUCUUUUCUUCUAUUCAUUGGUUAAACUGGGGGGUCUGCAACCUUCAAAACUCAAAGAUCCAUUCAGGUCGAUUUCUAACCG